CCUAGCGGUGGCAGCAGUAGGGAAUCUUCCACAAUGGACGAAAGUCUGAUGGAGCAACGCCGCGUGAGUGAAGAAGGGUUUCGGCUCGUACAGCUCUGUUGGUAGUGAAGAAAGAUAGAGGUAGUAACUGGCCUUUAUUUGACGGUAAUUACUUAGAAAGUCACGGCUAACUACGUGCCAGCAGCCGCGGUAAUACGUAGGUGGCAAGCGUUGUCCGGAUUUAUGGGGCGUAAAGCGAGUGCAGGCGGUUUCAUAAGUCUGAUGUGAAAGCCUUCGGCUCAACCGGGGAAUUGCAUCAGAAACCGUUGGACUUGAUUGCAGAAAGGGAGAGUGGAACUCCAUGUGUAGGCGUGGAAUGCGUAGAUAUAUGGAAGAACACCAGUGGCGAAGGCGGCUCUCUGGUCUGCAACUGACGCUGAGGCUCGAAAGCAUGGGUAGCGAACAGGAUUAGAUACCCGGGUAGUC
RNAcentral lists this ribosomal RNA (465 nucleotides) under uncultured bacterium. Its description in RNAcentral is "partial 16S ribosomal RNA". It matches the Rfam family "Bacterial small subunit ribosomal RNA", at positions 338 to 795 of the family's 1533-position model. The record is from RNAcentral.